RNAcentral lists this microRNA precursor (89 nucleotides) under Anopheles merus. RNAcentral describes it as "mir-2 microRNA precursor". It matches the Rfam family "mir-2 microRNA precursor family". From Rfam's summary of the family: The miRNAs are transcribed as ~70nt precursors (modelled here) and subsequently processed by the Dicer enzyme to give a ~22nt product. In this case the mature sequence comes from the 3' arm of the precursor. The extents of the hairpin precursors are not generally known and are estimated based on hairpin prediction. The record is from RNAcentral. Lineage: Eukaryota; Metazoa; Arthropoda; Insecta; Diptera; Culicidae.
ACUCUCUCAAAGUGGCUGUGAAAUGCGUCCUUCACUGUAUAAGGGAAGAACCCUUUUUCGCAUAUCACAGCCAGCUUUGAAGAGCGUCA